GAGUCCAAGUAACACCCCCAAGGCCAUCCUGGUGAAUCUGGGCUCUGCUGGUGGCAACGUCUCAAGGCAGACAGUCCAACGGACACUGCACACUGCUGGGUUCCACGGACGCAGACCAAGGAGGAUGCCACACAAAAGCAGCACGGCACACAAAAGCCUGCUUGGUCUUUGCAAAUGCUCAUCUGGACAAAGAAGAAGACUUCUGCUCUUCUGUUUUAUGCAUGCAGCCAAGAGUACCUGGUGCAGACAACAUGGCAGAUCUCCAUUCAAGAAUACACAAGAGGCGUCUCCAAGCAGCCUUGUCUGUCGAGGUUAGCGGAGGCUGCAUCUGCAAACGCUUCGGUCGCACCUUCUCCGGGGAGCAUGACAGAAGGAAUCCUUCAAGGCCUGAGCAAGAGGUGUAAACGACUGGAGCCUCAGCACUGCAGGUUUUAUGUGGCUGACAGUGGUGGUAAGUUGGAGCAAGGCCAGUGCUUGUUGGAAGGUGAUCACUAUACAGCUGUUGUUGUUGUAGCUUUGUUACUUGCCUUCAGGAAAAGCGAAGCAGAGAAAAUAAUUUACAAGAAGAUCAUUUAUUAACAGCUAAAUCCUUUAUUAAUUACACAGGCAGUUUAUUGUAAUUAAUUGGGGUUUAUUUGUGUGUCAGCAUGGGACAAUCAGCAAUAAACAAAAAAAGUUGAUCACCCGCACUGCAAAGUUUGUCGUGUCCUUCACCUCACUGAGGUUCUACCUCAAUGUCAGCUGCGAUCGGCUCAAGCUGAAUUGAAAGAGGCGGAUACCAAAUGAUUGCUGACACAGUUAAGGGACUAAAUUGGUAAGUCAUGGAUGAAAUGCAUCACGGAUGCACACAUAAAGACUAAGAAGCAAACCGCCAGUCACAUGCAGAUGAAGACCUAGAGAUAGUGCUGAGACAUUUGAAGGAAACAUUUGUAUAAUUCUGACUUUGCACUUUGUCCUCAUGAGUAAGGCGAGUCCUUACAAUGUGACUGUAUAAACAGAUUUUGUCCCCAGAACUACUGCGUCCACAACAGUGUAAGACAUCAAGCCCAGACAGCAAAAGGCAGAUGCUGCAGCACUCUAUGUUCAAUCAUCUGUAUUAAUAAACUACCAAGGGCAGGUAGAGUAUAAAUAAGUUGUGUGUUCUAUAAACUUCUUUGCCUCAGCAAGCAA
This is a long non-coding RNA of Scatophagus argus, 1170 nucleotides long. RefSeq lists it as uncharacterized. NCBI's taxonomy places the organism in Eukaryota, Metazoa, Chordata, Actinopteri, Scatophagidae. The transcript has 3 exons. The record is from RefSeq and is a predicted model, not a curated record.